AACGAACGCUGGCGGCAUGCCUAACACAUGCAAGUCGAACGAGAUCUUCGGAUCUAGUGGCGCACGGGUGCGUAACGCGUGGGAAUCUGCCCUUGGGUUCGGAAUAACAGUGAGAAAUUACUGCUAAUACCGGAUGAUGUCUUCGGACCAAAGAUUUAUUGCCCAAGGAUGAGCCCGCGUAGGAUUAGCUAGUUGGUGGGGUAAUGGCCUACCAAGGCGACGAUCCUUAGCUGGUCUGAGAGGAUGAUCAGCCACACUGGGACUGAGACACGGCCCAGACUCCUACGGGAGGCAGCAGUGGGGAAUAUUGGACAAUGGGGGAAACCCUGAUCCAGCAAUGCCGCGUGAGUGAUGAAGGCCUUAGGGUUGUAAAGCUCUUUUACCAGGGAUGAUAAUGACAGUACCUGGAGAAUAAGCUCCGGCUAACUCCGUGCCAGCCGCCGCAGUAA
RNAcentral lists this ribosomal RNA (449 nucleotides) under uncultured bacterium. Its description in RNAcentral is "partial 16S ribosomal RNA". It matches the Rfam family "Bacterial small subunit ribosomal RNA", at positions 29 to 523 of the family's 1533-position model. The record is from RNAcentral.